AAGCCCCUCUCCCUCACCGCGUACAUCGUCGCCGAGUUCCGAUCCUCCCGUACAUCUCGAGAAAGGCGAAUCAACUCCCCGUCAGCGUGCCCAUGUCGUUGCCGAGUUCGGAUCUCCCCUUGGAAUUAGACCUAGAGAAAGGCGCUGCCUGGCCGGCGGCGACAAAGGAGGAGGGCUGGCCGUGAUGAACCUUCGCGCGUUCAAGUAUAUCAUCGCGCUGGAUGUGAUCAUAGCGCUGUAUUUGCUGUUUUAACUUGGCCUGAUCGGAUGGGCUACGAAGGUUUCCAACAACCCGCGGGAUGCAUGGCCGGUUACUAUUAUCGCAUCGCUAGUCUGGAUGUUGUUACUCGCCGUGUAUCUUCCGCUUAAGAAGCGUGCGCUAGGAAGCGAUGAUGGUGAUCUUAGUACCAAAUUACUGGCAUCUAAGAAAUAAGCCAAUGAGUGAGUUUUGUGAAUAAGGAGCAACGUUUAUAGUUAAUAUUUGGAGUACAGUGCCCUGGUCGUGGUACUAAACUGGUGGUUACAUGGUGUCUGCGUUUAAUCUAGUGCUGCUUUUGUACAACCUCCUGAUAGAUGGAGCAGCUUCAAGAUUUGUGUGGAUUUCA
Molecule: long non-coding RNA, 605 nt
Organism: Triticum aestivum (bread wheat)
Lineage: Eukaryota; Viridiplantae; Streptophyta; Magnoliopsida; Poales; Poaceae
Exons: 2
Source: RefSeq, a predicted model, not a curated record